Molecule: long non-coding RNA, 555 nt
Organism: Saccostrea cuccullata (small rock oyster)
Lineage: Eukaryota; Metazoa; Mollusca; Bivalvia; Ostreida; Ostreidae
Exons: 3
Source: RefSeq, a predicted model, not a curated record
GGUUACUUAUUCUACCCAUAAGAGGUUGUAUCGAUCUGCAUGCCUAAACAAACAUUACAAACGGAGGUGUGGUGUCAACUUAGCUCACUCAGAACCGAAAAGGAAGGUUAUAUACCACCAAAAUCAAAUGGAAGAAGAUUUUCGUGUCAACCCUUUUGAUAAAGAUUCAGGUGAUGGCGGUGGUCUUCAUAUGGAAAAGGUACAAACUGAAGAAACUUAUCCUGCAAGACAUUGUCAACUUUGUCACUAUAUAGGGGAAUCGGUAAAUGCAUCACUGGUUUGUAAAGAAGAACAGAUAUAUCUCUGUAAUUCCUGUGGAAAGCGUCAUCAAUUUCAAAGGUCAACCAAAUCACAUACUGUCACUGACAUCGAAGAGAAUACAAUGUUAAAUUGCGAAAUUUGUGAAAGUCUUAAUAAAAAGGUACCAGCCUACGGGUUCUGCGAAACAUGCGAAGAUCCAGAAUAUAUGUGCCAACCUUGCUCAAAAAGACAUACGGCAUCUAAGAUAUUUAAAAGCCAUUCUAUCUGCACCAACCUAGAUAAACUGUACACAAA